ACCCUACUGAUGCCCGCGUCG
This 21-nucleotide small RNA is filed under the name Arabidopsis thaliana (thale cress). RNAcentral's name for it is "Ath_wt_01893". Lineage: Eukaryota; Viridiplantae; Streptophyta; Magnoliopsida; Brassicales; Brassicaceae. The record is from RNAcentral.